Molecule: long non-coding RNA, 1248 nt
Filed under: Equus asinus (donkey)
Lineage: Eukaryota; Metazoa; Chordata; Mammalia; Perissodactyla; Equidae
Description: lncRNA (ENSEASG00005027074.1)
Source: RNAcentral
AGGGGGCAGGGAGGCGGCAUGUCUCGAAGGGUCCCAAGUGAACUGGUGAAAAAGCAAAAAGCAAAACAAACAAAAGGCUACCGGCUUUGACGGCAGGUGCAGCUGCUAAGGGCUGCCAGCCCCUGCCCCCACCUCUCUUCACAAGGAAGGUUUAGGACAGCAGCACCAUAGGUGGCCUCUGGGUUCUUACAGCCCUGGGGGGCUUUCAGUUAGCACCCUGUUGCCACGCCGCAGCCGCGGCCGCUGCCACUGCCACCACCACCACCACCUCCUUUUGAACAGAGAGCUCUUUUCCGUUUUCAACUUCCUUCUUCCCAGAUCAGUUGCUGAAUUCUCUGAUGCGACAACAGCUGCACAGGAUACAGUGGUCAACUGUAACAGGAGCAAUCCUGACAAACAAGUAAGGGGAGGCACUAGCGCUGGGGAUGCCAUUUCAAGCCUGAGUCAAGCAGGAGCCGGAGCCCGAGGUGAGUGGUGGUUGUUGCCACUAGGCCACCUGCACUAUAGGACACAAGCUGCUGGACAGGAUUGGCUACAUAAUUUGCAGAUCCAUUGCCAAACGAAAACAUGGGGCCCCUUGUUCAAAAAUUAUUAAGAAUUUCAAGAUAGCAACACAGAGAAUUAAACCAAGCGCAGGGCCCUUCAGUGUGAGGCCCUGUGCCACUGCACAGGCUAUGUGCCCAAGAGGCCCACCCUACUGCUGAGCAUGGAGAGUCACACAGGACCUGUGGAGCCCUACUGUCCCUGCAACGUGGCAGAGGAGGACAACUGUCUUCCCAGUGACCUGACUCCAGAGGAACGGCCAGAAUUGGAGAACAUCCCUGAAGAAAGCAGGAGCUGCAGGCUGAAGUAUAGAGACCGAAGGCUGAGAUAGAAGAAUAGCUAACGAAAUUGAGAACUGGGAUCCACAGAAGAAAGCAACACAUGUGGAGCAAUAAAGAGGUGGCCUAAUGCAGGUUCUAUAAAGGGGAUCCCGUUCAUAACAGAAUGGUUGAUUGAAGAACACUUGCGAAGACAUGUCCCAGUUCUUGUAGAAAGGUGAAGGACUCGGUCAAACAGCCACUAGGGACUCCCUGCGGGAGAGAGGAAUUUAUUAUCUAGGUUCUUCCUGCUUUUGUGGAGGUGCAUGAAUUCACUGAUCUAACCUUUACCCAGCCAGUUCAGUAAUUCCUGUGGAGCUUCUGAACGCCGAGGCGGCGCCGAAGACUGAUGGGAUGAUGGAGGCACUUGCCCAGUGACACCGUCAGU